Glossina palpalis gambiensis is the source of this 105-nucleotide non-coding RNA. NCBI's taxonomy places the organism in Eukaryota, Metazoa, Arthropoda, Insecta, Diptera, Glossinidae. The record is from Rfam.
AUUUGCUUAGUGUAGUUUAUAUUCUUGCUUCUUGCGAUAGAGAGAAGAUAAGAAACGGCCAUGCGCAAGGAUGACACGCAAAAUCCUGAAGCGUUCCACAUUUUA